Molecule: transfer RNA, 69 nt
Filed under: Neoceratodus forsteri (Australian lungfish)
Lineage: Eukaryota; Metazoa; Chordata; Ceratodontiformes; Ceratodontidae
Description: tRNA-His
Rfam family: tRNA
About the family: Transfer RNA (tRNA) molecules are approximately 80 nucleotides in length.
Source: RNAcentral
GCAAAUGUAGUUUAAAUAAAACACUAGAUUGUGGUUCUAGAAACAAAAGUUAAAGCCUUUUCAUCUGCC